Molecule: RNA transcript, 3696 nt
Organism: Magnolia sinica
Lineage: Eukaryota; Viridiplantae; Streptophyta; Magnoliopsida; Magnoliales; Magnoliaceae
Gene name: protein FAR1-RELATED SEQUENCE 5-like
Exons: 6
Source: RefSeq, a predicted model, not a curated record
AGGUCGCCUCAGGACAGAAUUCACGUCCUGACGCCUCAGGACUAUAACUUCUCCCUCGUCAGACCUCUCUCUCGCUCUCUCCCCCAAAAUCCACAGAAGAGGAGACUCGAUCAUGGUUCCAUAGAAAAGAUCAUACGCGUAAUUGAACAAAACAAGGCAUUUGUAGGAAAAGGACCGGUUAUAGCAAACUACCAUGGACAACCAGGAAGUUAAUUUGGAAGACAAUCCAGGUCCUCGUUUGGGUAUGCGGUUUAAAACUGCAAAUGAAGCAUACAAAUGGUAUAAUGAAUAUGCUCGCCAGGUUGGUUUCAGCGUGCGCAUCAAUCAUCAGGAGAAAUCAAGACGAGAUGGGGAAGUUAUUUCCAAAUCAUUUGUAUGUUCCAGGGAGGGAAAACGCCGGGACAAAUACGAGAAUAGAGAGAAUAGAAAGAAAUCUGUCACACAUACAAGAGUAGGGUGCCAAGCAUUUCUUAUGGUGAAGAGAAGGAGAGGUCCUGGGGAGGAUGGUUGGGAGGUUACAAAAUUCCACGUGCUUCAUAAUCAUGAUUUAGUGUCUCCAGCCAAAGCGCAGUGCCUUCGAUCACAUAAGAGGAGACGGUAUAAUCCAGAGCAUUUUAUUGAAAAUGGUGCAAAUGUUCAAGUCGAUAAUGCAUUUUCUUCAUUUGAGGAAGGAUCCGGGGCGUCAGUAAGUUACAUGGCCUUGGGAGGUAAUGCCACAGAAUCUGGGGUGGUGACGAAUGUUGAGGGUUGCGUAAGUGAAGCUAACACAGCUGUAGAAUACAUGAGAUCAAAAGACGGUGCUGUUUCUUGUGAUGAGGAGAUGGACACCGAGCCCUCUCCCACCUUGAAAGACGGUUCAGGUCUUCGCUUGGGUAUGCAGUUUAAAACUGCUGAUGAGGCGUACACAUGGUAUAACAAUUAUGCUAGGCAAGUCGGCUUCAGCGUGCGCAUCAAUGGUCAAGAAAAGUCUAAACGUGAUGGAGAAGUUAUUUCUAGAGUAUUUGUCUGUUCUAGAGAAGGAAAACGUCGUGAUAAAGAUGUAAAUAGAGAGAAAAGAAGUAAAGGUGAGCAAGUGAAUACAAGGAUAGGGUGCCAGGCAUAUCUUAUGGUCAAGAGAAGAAGGGGUCCUACAGAGGACAUUUGGGAGGUCACAAGGUUUCAUGAACUUCACAAUCAUGAUUUAAUGUCUCCAACAAAAGCGAUUUUCCUUCGAUCACACAGGAGGGUAAAACCUACUGCCGAAAAUUAUAUUGAAAAUCUAUCCGGUGUGCGUGUUCAUGGGGAUAAUACCUUGCCUUCACCAGUAGAAGGGACUGGUGGGCUUGGAAAUGUUGGUGUUAGUCCACGAAAUUUGUACAAUCAUCUUAGUACGAAAAGGCGGGAGGGCCUUGCAAAAGGAGAUGCUAAGACAGUCCUUGACUACUGUAAAGAAAUGCAAAAGAACAAUCCUAGUUUCUUUUACGCGAUGCAAAUUGAUGAGGAAGAUCGCUUGUGUAAUUUUUUCUGGGCCGAUGCUAGGUCAAGGAUGACUUAUAGGUACUUUGGUGAUGUUGUGUGCUUUGACACAAUGUAUAAGAUAGACCAAUAUAAAAUUCCAUUGGUUCCAUUCACCGGAGUGAACCAUCAUAAGCAGCCAGUGUUGUUUGGUUGUGCAUUAUUAUGUGAGGAUACGGAAGCUUCAUUCGUUUGGUUAUUUACUGCAUGGCUUGACGCAAUGCAUGGGCGGCAUCCGGCCACAUUUAUUACGGAUCAAGAUGAAGCAAUGGCUAAAGCAGCUGCGCGGGUAUUCCCAAGAACAAACCACCGGUUAUCCAUGUGGCACAUUGUAAAAAGAGCACCAGAUAAGUUGCCACAAGUCUACAAUGCGCAUAAGAGUUUUGGUGACGACUUCCAUGCGUGCUACAGGUUGUCAGAGACGAUUGAUCAGUUUGAAGAGAGGUGGAGGCAGCUCAUCAUUGAUUAUAAUCUUGGGGAGAAUGCAUGGCUUCAGUCAUUAUAUGAAAUUCGUGAAAAGUGGGUUCCUGCUUUCACAAGGAACACCUUCUGUGCAGGGAUGUUCACAUCGCAACAAAAUGCUGGUAUGAAUUCAUUUUUUGAUGGGUAUGUUGGUAAGAAAACAACCUUGCAGGAAUUCGUCAAGUUGUAUGAUAAAGCACUCGAUCAUCGGUACAAUCAAGAGUGUGAAGCAGAUUUUCAAACGCUCUACACUAAUCCAGUUUUGAAGAUAUAUUUGCCUAUGGAACCGCAAUCUACAGAUGCAUACCCGAGAAUUAGCAAUCCAGUUUUGAAGAUGCAAUUGCCUAUGGAAAUACAAGCUGCGGAGACGUACACCAGAGUAGUAUUCAAGGAAUUCCAGGAGGAGUUGGUGAGAAGUCUAUCUUACACUGUUGAGGAAGUUGAGGGUGGUUGGGAUCUCAAGACUUAUAGGGUGAGACAAUAUUGGCAUGAGAUACGACCACAUACGGUUACGUUCAACGUAUCAGAGACGAGGGCAACUUGUACAUGCCUCAUGUUCGAGUCUGAAGGCAUUCUCUGUCGACAUGCAUUAAAAGUUUUCUUGACAAGUGGCGUUCUAGAGCUCCCAUCUUAUUACAUUUUGGAACGAUGGACAAGAAAUGCAAGGAUUAGGGAUGUAUACGAUCAACAAGAAGUCAUUAUGCCAGCUGAUUUGAAGAAAUCUGUGACCCUGAGAUAUAACGAUUUGUGUCGGCGGGCCAUUAAAUGUGCAGAAGAUGGGGCGACAUCUGUUGAAGUUUAUGAUAUGGCAGUUUCAGCAAUAGAGAGGUGUUUGAAAGAAAUAACUGAAGCCAAAAAGAUUGAAGCAAGAAAUGCACAGCUUAGCGCUCUGUUGACCGGAAGUAUACAAGAGGACCACAUGGAGGAAGCCAGUCAAGUGGGCCAUCCCAGUAACCAAAUAAAUUUGCAUGAUCCUCCUGGCAUGGUCACAAAAAUAGGCCCUUCUAAUCAAAUGUUUGACAGGCAACGGAAGGUCAUCAAGACUUGCAGUGUUUGUAGGGGGAACGAUCACGACAAGCGUAAAUGCCCGCACAUUGAAGGCCACAGGGAAUAUGCAGCAGUUCUCCCAUCUAGACAUUUAUAGAUAGGUAAAGCUUGGUGUAGCAACCUUUCCAGUUCAUGACUAUGGAAAAAGAAGUUACUCCAUUGAAGAAUGGUCUUUCACUCUUUCCAUUUUCGACCUUGCAGCGAAGCUACUAAGGUCCACCUCCAAAUGGAGUCACCUAUAAGCACAUCUUCUGAGACAAUCUUGGUUUUGAAGCAUUGUAAUGCUCGAGCGAAAGAAAUACUGUUUUCUUGUUUGAUCCUGCAAUGCUGCAUAUGGGACCCACCUUUCAGUAAUCUAAGCUGUUGAUAUGGUGGGUCCCAUUAACAGUAGGGGAGAGUUUGGAGAUGUAUCUAAUCCACCAUGGGACCCACCCUGUGAACAAAUUGGAUUACCAAGUGUGAACUCCAUCUUCUUCAAUAGGACUAGGAACUAUGCUGGCGUGUACAAAUGCUAUGAUAUCGCUGUUUGACCGGUACGUCAUCUUGCAUCAGUGUUGUAUCUUCUCAAGAAUGGAAAACUUAGGGAAAAAAACAACAACAACAAUAUGGCCACUUAUGUUAGUGAUGUUUAUUUGUGCAAUUUGUGUAUGAAAACAAACCGUGGUGGAAAUCUCAUUCACCAUUACUUUAGUC